This is a long non-coding RNA of Balaenoptera acutorostrata (minke whale), 290 nucleotides long. RefSeq lists it as uncharacterized. The transcript is spliced from 2 exons. NCBI's taxonomy places the organism in Eukaryota, Metazoa, Chordata, Mammalia, Artiodactyla, Balaenopteridae. The record is from RefSeq and is a predicted model, not a curated record.
UCUCGGCUGAGACCAGGCAGACAGGGAAGAAACAGAAGGAAAAAAUGCCAGGGCUCCAGUUGUACACGGAAGCUUUUCUAAAGUAGCUGGAGCUGAGAAGAAAGGUAACUGAGAAGACUCCUUGCAUGCUGAAGCCGGAGGAAGCUUCUGGAUCACAAUCACCGCGUCACACGCUGGGGCCUUGGCGAGCACCGUACAGGGAGAGCCGUCCGUCCAGGGCCAGGCCCAGGGUGUCAUUUCUGCGAGGCGGGUCUCUGAUCUGCCUCCAUAAAUAAAAGCCUGGAACAGAG